UUUUUUUUUUUUUUUUUGGCCACACCUGAGGAAUGUGGAAGGUUCCUGGACCAAGAAUUGAACCCUCACCACAGCAGCAAUGCAGUAACAACUCAUUGGGCCACAAGAGAACUCCCAAGACCAGCUUAAUUUCUAUUCUAACUCCAGUCCUAUGCAGCUACAAACAGAAUGGGGCGGCGGGGGGGGGGGGGGGGUCAUGGUUCCUAAUCACCAAUUUCCUCAAAACCAUUUACUUCAAUUAUAUCAUUUUUUCUGAGAUUAAAAGGCAUUAUUUUUAGGAGUUCCCAUUGUAGCACAGUGGAAAUGAAUCUGACUACCACAACAGGAACUCCAAGACAAAUGUGUUUUUAUAAGUAAGUAUUGCAACCAUCAUCCCUCCCAGAAAUUAUUAAUUAUUAAUUUCUUUAACACCUUUAAGAAACUGACUCUUACACUUCAUGUAUAUAUUUGUGAAAACUGGUGCCAUAUCUGACAGUUCCUAGCACAUAACACAUAUAAAAACAAACAGAGCCAGUUAAUGAAAUGAGCAUUCCUUGCCCCAAUCAACAUUCUAAAUAGUAUGCUUAUUUAGAAAAAGUAUACUAUCAUUUUAAUACAAGCAAUGCCACCAUAUUCAGUAAUCACUGGGAACCAUCUUUUCAGCCUCAUCUACGUUCUUUCAGGACGUUUCAGGGUAACAGCAAUUCUGAAAAUGUUUCUACAUGACCUUGAAAGGAAAUUCUUUCUCACCAACUAAAUUAACUGCAAAACUUCCUCAUGAAGUCAUAGAUGAAAGGAUAUUUGAAUAAAUCUUACCCCUCUAGAAAACUGUAAUCCAUAACAUCUAGAUCAUUCAUUCACAAAGUGAAAAGAAGAUGGGAUUGCCUUCAGUAAAGCUAUAAAAAUGCACCCAGUAGAACUGCUCUUUAUAGAAAAAAAAAAAAAAAAAAGCUUGUUAUAUUAGGGACUUUCUGCUAACAUUUUUUUAGUUACAAGUGUCACACUCCUUUUAACUUUAUCUGUUGUAAAAAUCCAGAAUUUGUUCAAUAUUCUGAUUACUGUUUAACUAUAAUUCAGGUAAAAAAAAAUUUUUUUUGAUGGCCGCACUCAAGGAAUAUAGAA
This 1101-nucleotide long non-coding RNA is filed under the name Sus scrofa (pig). RNAcentral's name for it is "lncRNA (ENSSSCG00065032809.1)". The record is from RNAcentral. Lineage: Eukaryota; Metazoa; Chordata; Mammalia; Artiodactyla; Suidae.